UACGGGGGGGGCAAGCGUUGUUCGGAAUUACUGGGCGUAAAGGGCGCGUAGGCGGCCUUCUAAGUCGGACGUGAAAUCCCUCGGCUUAACCGAGGAACUGCGUCUGAUACUGGAAGGCUUGAAUCCGGGAGAGGGAUGCGGAAUUCCAGGUGUAGCGGUGAAAUGCGUAGAUAUCUGGAGGAACACCGGUGGCGAAGGCGGCAUCCUGGACCGGCAUUGACGCUGAGGCGCGAAAGCCAGGGGAGCAAACGGG
RNAcentral lists this ribosomal RNA (253 nucleotides) under uncultured bacterium. RNAcentral describes it as "partial 16S ribosomal RNA". It matches the Rfam family "Bacterial small subunit ribosomal RNA", at positions 524 to 776 of the family's 1533-position model. The record is from RNAcentral.